Non-coding RNA from Drosophila melanogaster (fruit fly), 1006 nucleotides. NCBI's taxonomy places the organism in Eukaryota, Metazoa, Arthropoda, Insecta, Diptera, Drosophilidae. The record is from Ensembl.
AGGUGUUCUCAACUGAUCAAACUAAAAUCUUGUAGUCUUAAUGUUUAAUCCCAUAAAUUUUUAAAAAUCAGGUCAACGUGAUAUUAGUUUGUGGUUUGUAUUUAUUAUUUCGGCCAAAAAUCACACACAAAAUGCAUGUGCAGCUAGUACAAGCAUGUUGUGAAAGUUUCUUAUGGAUCUUUAAGCCACCUGCAAGUCCGACAAAAUUCACUUGCAGACGGUCAAAAAAUAGUCAAGCAUAAAUCCAAGGCAACUCAAGUGCCGGCCAUUUCAGGGGGUCAAGUGUAAAGUUAAACAAAAACGCUUAGCUAGGGAAGGCUAGGGGUAUGGAAGGAACUGCCUUGGCCAGGAUUUGUGCUGCGACAUGGCCUUUUGUUGGAGCUGCCAGGGAUGUCCGCACGAAUAUUCACAUUACACAGCGUGGACACGGAGAAAUGAGCGAAGGAUGCGCAGUAGGCGAGGGAUGCGGAGUGGCGACCCUCAAGUGGCAGCAGUGGCCAAAACGAUGUCAACUCAAAAAUGGGGAAAAAAGAAACUAAUUUCAUAAGAUGGUGUCAACUGCAACUUUUUCGUGAGAGGCUCUCCUCUCGUCCGCCCCUCGAGCAUUUUCCGCCACUGCUCGAGUGCUCUCCGGACUGCAUUAAACGGCCGGGAGAGAAAGCCGGGAAAGCUGGGAAAGCUGAUGAUGGCCACUGCCGAGAGCUAAAUGCACUGGCAGAUUACCACAAACAAAAAGCAGAGAAAAUUCCGCACGCAACCCCUAAUGAGCCUCUUAGUUGAAAACUCAUAAUCAGCACAAAACUCACUCGUUCGAAUAUCCAAGGCACUGAAAAAAAAAGAAGUUAUGGACAGUCCACCAAAGAAUGUAUCCACCUGAAUUGCCAUGGAAAUGGCGCAAUCCAUUCAAAUAUGUUUGAUUCGCUUCCCUUAAUUCAAUCGCCUCAUACACGCGUACGCGAACAAAGACAAAACAGUUAAUUAAACCGAAAAAAUGCCUCAAUCAAAA